AGAGUUUGAUCAUGGCUCAGAUUGAACGCUGGCGGCAGGCCUAACACAUGCAAGUCGAGCGCCCGUAGCAAUACGGGAGCGGCAGACGGGAGAGUAACACGUGGGAACGUACCCUUCGGUUCGGAAUAACCCAGGGAAACUUGGGCUAAUACCGGAUACGUCCGUAAGGAGAAAGAUUUAUUGCCGAAGGAUCGGCCCGC
This 200-nucleotide ribosomal RNA is filed under the name uncultured bacterium. RNAcentral describes it as "partial 16S ribosomal RNA". It matches the Rfam family "Bacterial small subunit ribosomal RNA", at positions 8 to 234 of the family's 1533-position model. The record is from RNAcentral.